AGGAUGAACGCUGGCGGCGUGCUUAACACAUGCAAGUCGAACGAUGAAGGCUGGAGCUUGCUCUGGCUGGAUUAGUGGCGAACGGGUGAGUAACACGUGAGUAACCUGCCCCUGACUCUGGGAUAAGCGCUGGAAACGGCGUCUAAUACCGGAUACGAGCUUCCACCGCAUGGUGAGGAGCUGGAAAGAAUUUCGGUCUGGGAUGGACUCGCGCCUAUCAGCUUGUUGGUGAGGUAAUGGCUCACCAAGGCGACGACGGGUAGCCGGCCUGAGAGGGUGACCGGCCACACGUGGGACUGAGACGACGGCCACGACCGUCCGUAACCGGGAGGCCAGGCAGGUAGGGAA
This 348-nucleotide ribosomal RNA is filed under the name uncultured soil bacterium. Its description in RNAcentral is "bacterial SSU rRNA". It matches the Rfam family "Bacterial small subunit ribosomal RNA", at positions 26 to 361 of the family's 1533-position model. The record is from RNAcentral.